This 254-nucleotide long non-coding RNA is filed under the name Ananas comosus (pineapple). RNAcentral's name for it is "long non-coding RNA (ACOM_LNC003029)". Lineage: Eukaryota; Viridiplantae; Streptophyta; Magnoliopsida; Poales; Bromeliaceae. The record is from RNAcentral.
GAUGGAUAAUACAAUGGUAAGACUGAUAAUUGUUAAAAUCGAAACGACGAAAAAUAAAUUCAAAAAAAAAAAAACUUAAUGUAGAAAAAGAAAAGAAAAAAAAAAGCACACUGAAAUUUAUGUGGUUCGACCAACAGACUAUGUCUAUGGGCGAAGACAGAACAAAUAUUUUAUUAAUAUCGAAAGACGGAGUACAAAGAAGAUCUCUGAAAAAAUCAAAACUUUAAUUAGGUCCGAAACUUCGAAAUCCGCAU